This 483-nucleotide ribosomal RNA is filed under the name uncultured bacterium. RNAcentral describes it as "partial 16S ribosomal RNA". It matches the Rfam family "Bacterial small subunit ribosomal RNA", at positions 30 to 507 of the family's 1533-position model. The record is from RNAcentral.
AUUGAACGCUGGCGGCAGGCCUAACACAUGCAAGUCGAGCGGAUGAAGGGAGCUUGUUCUUGGAUUCAGCUGCGGGCGGGCGAGUAAUGCAUAGGAAUCUGCCUUGUAGUGGGGGAUAGGUCCGGAAAGGGGCGCCGAUACCGCAUACGUCCAGAGGGAGUAAGUGGGGGGUCUUAGGACCUAACGCUGUUAGGUGAGCCUUGGUCGGAUUAGCUAGUUGGCGGGGUAAAGGCGUACCAAGGCGACGAUCCGUAACUGGCCUGAGAGGAUGAUCAGCCACACUGGAACUGAGACACGGUCCAGACUCCUACGGGAGGCAGCAGUGGGGAAUCUUGCACAAUGGGCGAAAGCCUGAUCCAGCCACGCCGCGUGAGUGAAGAAGGUCUUCGGAUUGUAAAACACUUUUAGUUGGGAGGAAGAACAGUAAGUUAAUACCUUGCUGUUUUGACGGUACCAACAGAAUAAGCACCGGCUAACUUCGUG